UACGUAGGUGGCAAGCGUUGUCCGGAUUUACUGGGCGUAAAGAGCGCGCAGGCGGUCGUUCAAGUCGCGUGUGAAAGCCCCCGGCUCAACUGGGGAGGGUCACGCGAUACUGAUCGACUCGAAGGCAGGAGAGGGUAGUGGAAUUCCUGGUGUAGCGGUGGAAUGCGCAGAUAUCAGGAGGAACACCAACGGCGAAGGCAGCUCGCUGGGACGGUACUGACGCUGAGGCGCGAAAGCGUGGGGAGCGAACAGG
This 253-nucleotide ribosomal RNA is filed under the name uncultured bacterium. Its description in RNAcentral is "partial 16S ribosomal RNA". It matches the Rfam family "Bacterial small subunit ribosomal RNA", at positions 524 to 776 of the family's 1533-position model. The record is from RNAcentral.